Long non-coding RNA from Mauremys mutica (yellowpond turtle), 691 nucleotides. RefSeq lists it as uncharacterized. The transcript has 3 exons. NCBI's taxonomy places the organism in Eukaryota, Metazoa, Chordata, Testudines, Geoemydidae. The record is from RefSeq and is a predicted model, not a curated record.
GCACAGUCUGGGUGCAGGCACCUCAGUGGGAGGGCCUGGAUGCACAAGUGUUCGUUGGGGAUUCUGGCUGCAACCGGAAGGGACUCUGCGGCAGAGUCUGUGAAGGAGUAAAAUCCAUCUGAAAAUCCAGCCUAAAGUAAAAAGCAAUCUGGAGACAGACAAAGAACCAAAGGGCUUAGAGAAAAAUGUGAUGACCCCAGGGAAUGAACUGGAAGUAUCCCAGGAAGAGGAGGCUGGCUGCAUCUGUUGGUGAUUUUAUAUAAUAGGAACUGUGCCACGUCAUCACGGCGCUGUCCAUUCAGGAGGCAGCUGUGUGCAGUCAGGCUUUUCCGUGGGUCUCCAGAUCAAGAGCUGUGAAGGAUCCUGUGACACCAACAACUUACCUGCCAUCCAGGAUCCUUUGGUCCAUCAGCAGCUUCGGUCCUAGUAGCUUGUCAACAUCCAGCAGCCGAGAUCCAGUGUUCCUCCCCAAAGGCCAGCGUUUGGCCCGAGGGUAGAAGGUCCUGGACCCACCACUCACUACCAUCUGACCUGCCCACAGAUGACAUCGGAUUAGCAGUGGGCUAUAUAAGGGAUUUGAUUGGUUUUCUUCUUGUUGCCAAGGCAGGGGUAUAUUGGGCCUCUGCUUCAAGCUCCUUUGUUGCAGUCCACUUUUUGUGGCGUGUUUAUGUGGUUGCUUAUGGUUUUCCCC